GACGCAGAAGGUUUCAGAGGACCCUUGUCACUGAAAUUCCCUUUCCUUCUGGAAAAGCAAACUGCUAGUUUGUUGACCAUCAGCUGUGAAGCUUUUCUGGAUAAGGGUCAAGGAUAUCCUCAUGACUAAAUGCUACAAUAGAAUAUGUACUUGGACUCAGGCUCAGAAAUUACCAAACUGUCAUAACUGACCCAAAGAUGCUUCCUAGAGACGGGUUUCGCUGUGUUCACCAGGAUGGUCUCAAUUUCCUGACCUCGUGAUCUGCCUGCCUCGACCUCCCAAAAUGGAAAGCACGUCCUUCACCAUAAGUUGCUUUUGUCUGUUUUUCAACAUUAGCAACAUGUAUGCAGCUAGAGGCCAUUAUCCUGAGUGAAUUAACACAGGAACAGAAAACUCCAGCCUGUGAGAUCACCCUCGGGGACUCUAUGAAGCUGCAGGGGUGGAGCUACCCAAAGCCUUGGGAGCCUACUCUUUGCAGCAGUGUAUCUUGGAUGUGGAACAUGGAGUCAAAGGAGGUUAUUUUGGAGCUUUAUGAUUUAAU
Molecule: long non-coding RNA, 541 nt
Organism: Pan troglodytes (chimpanzee)
Lineage: Eukaryota; Metazoa; Chordata; Mammalia; Primates; Hominidae
Exons: 6
Source: RefSeq, a predicted model, not a curated record